RNAcentral lists this non-coding RNA (109 nucleotides) under Chattonella subsalsa. The record is from RNAcentral. Lineage: Eukaryota; Raphidophyceae; Chattonellales; Chattonellaceae.
AAAGGAAAAAGUUUGAAGUCUUAAAUUUUGCAUAAAACGCACCACUGUUGUUUUGAAAACUAAUAAAAGAAACAAAAAAAUAUUUAAAAAAUAUUGGUUGCUUAACAAU